Molecule: long non-coding RNA, 1852 nt
Organism: Rhea pennata
Lineage: Eukaryota; Metazoa; Chordata; Aves; Rheiformes; Rheidae
Exons: 4
Source: RefSeq, a predicted model, not a curated record
AGUUGAUGAAAAAGCACUGUCCAUCCACCUGUGACUUCUGCUAUGAAUUCCCAUUUCCAGCAAUCCCCUCUACUUUGCCCCCACCAAGGACAAAAACCAAGACUGUUUCUGAAGGCAGGAACGUCACCUUCCGCUGCGGACAGAAGAUCAUUCAUAAAAAAGGCAAAGUUUACUGGUAUAAAGAUAAGGAGCUUCUGGAAUACUCAUAUCCAGGUUACUUAUCCUUAAACGAUGAUCACCUGAGCAUCAUUGCAAAUGCAAUUAAUGAAGGAACUUACACUUGUAUAGUAAAGAAAAAAGAAAGAAUCUUGACCACUUAUUCCUGGAGGAUCAGACUGAGGCACUAAUAAGGGCCCUGGAAUGAGAACUUCAAUUACUGCUAGUUCUGUUUCAAAUUCAAAUUUUUUCUUUAGCAUUUUAUAUUUAAUCUGCAGCAGUACAAUCAAACUUUUAAAUCAGCUGCUUCCAUAGCUUGGGCAAGAGAGACUGGGACUUUAUUUUUGGAAAAACUUUUCCAAGUUACUUUUAACGGGUAAGAAUUUAUCAAGCAUGUCCCGUAUAGAAAGAUAAUUAAAAAAUAAUAAUAAAAAAUUCAAGGGUCAGAUUUUGCAGUUAAAUGACCCAAGUCACUGCAGACUGCUGAAAAACAAGAACAAAACCCCUCACCAGAUAAAUGGAUCAACAGAUUGAUGGCUCAACUAUGUUGCAAUGGAAUCAGAGGCAUUAUGGAAGAAAAAAAACAACCAUCGUCCUCGUAACCUUGGGCAAACAAACACCAGCAAAACUACCAACUAUCUCACAACGCUGUAAGCGACAGCAGUCUAGGAAGGCCUGUGUUACAGCAGAAAGGCUCUAUCAGUAAAACUGUAAAAAAAGCUCACUUUGAUUAUAAUUUGAUUUUACAAAAAUAAAACCUGAAAUAAAUCAACAGCAAAAUAGUAUCUGAACUGCAAAAAUCCUGUGAUGCCACUAUACUCUCAUGCAGUAGAAUUUCCACUUUGGUCUAAAUGCUAUACCUCUGCAAUUCUUCCACACUGCUGAAAUCUGUUUUUUAAAUAGGCACAAUUUCAAACUAAUUAAAUACUGCAGUUCUGUUCCUAGUGAAACUGACUUUAACUUAUUUUCUCCCCUCACUUGCCCUCUUAUAACUUGCAUAUGAUUAAAAAAACCCACCUCCCUUAUCAGUGUCAGAAGUCCAGGGUUAAGUUAACCCACCUUGGAAAAAUGUCUUCCAAUUGUAUAUGAAAGGCUUGCUUAAAAAAAGUUAAAUACCAAUAGUAACCGCUUAUCAUUUAGGUAUUUUUAUCCCCUUUCAUUUCUCACAUAUUUAUUUAGUAUGAAUAAAUAAUCUUAGGCUUCACCUUUACCAUCACAUGUAGGCAGGAGUACAGGGCAGUAAAAAAUUUAAAAAUGCAUCUUUUGUAGGGACAAUUACAAUCAGGAUCAUAAACCGCAAGCACUCUGUGCAAAAAUAGACAUUUGAGCCAAAAUAAAAGUUGAGAUGUGGCAACUGAAAAAUGCUGCUCUACUGAGGAAGAGCCGAUAUUCCCUUCUAUGAAGAAAAUUGGAGUUACACAUACCUCUUAGAGCCACAUCACAUUCCCACGAUAAUCCAGCAGUAGGGUUUGUUGCUUUUGCUUUUUUAAAACCAAAACCAUCCAACUUCGAUGCCAGAUAAAUAAUUCUUUCUUUUUGUCAGUGAAUCAGACCUUCCAUGAGUGAUGCCCCCAAUGGCUGCAACAAUGCCAAGGAAGUUAGGAAGGAAGUAACGUCACAGAGUGCAAGAUGCACAACAGAGCUUGAAACACAAAAUGUACAGUCACAUGUUUGAUCCUUUACAGUUUACCACAGG